CGAGGGGAGGAGGGUGAGGGGAGCGCAGGGCUUCCGACAGUAGCCCCGGUGACCUUCGUGGACCGAGGUGGCCGCCCUGUCGGCGUGCCCGGCCCUGUGGUUCUGGUGAUGGGCGACACAGCGGGUCGCACGAGCUCCCGGCAGCAGCAGCUUCCCUUUGCCGCCGAAAACAGGCAGCGGCGGGUAAUAACCCCGGGGGGAGGUAAUUGGAGCCGGCGUUACGUCACGGGGACCCGACGCAGCUUGCGUCGGACCGGACCCGCUGCUGCUUAGAGUGACUGGCUGCCGGCUGCUUGAGGUAGCACGGAGGCUGACGGGACACGCCGUGGCGCCUCAUACCGGAGCAACGCAAACUACUUUGACACCUUCUUCGCCAAGUUUAGAAGGCAGUGCCUGCCUGUUUGCUGCGGGGCUUCUUUCUGCGAGUGGGGGUGAACAAGCCGGGUGGACGUCUACACAUCGCCGCCCGCGCCGAUCCAAAGAACACUGCUUCCUGCUGCCUUUAAGCUCGUCCUUCACUGCGCCCCUUGCCGCUGUUGAACAACACAAAGUACAGGGUUCUGUACUUUGUGAUGUUGUUCCCUUCCUUCAACUCCACCAGCCGGAAGACAAAAAUUAAGUUUUUAUCCAUCUACACCAUACCGAUGUCUAUUUGCGUGCUGAAGUAAGCCGGAAAUGAUGUUAUACAAUGGCCUGCAAUGGACGUACAAGACAGCCUCAAAUCGAAAAUUAGUGGAGGAAGUACCCCCCAAAACAGUGUCAUCUGGACCAAAUUGCGUUUUGGAUACGGGUAUGAGCAGGCUUAUUGGCUCGUCCUUAGGUCCAAGAAAAUGCCUCCGCCGGCAGGGCAACAGGCCCGGUGUCUGCGAAGUGCCAAACGGAGACCGUCCAGUCUCUCAAACGGUUGGAGAGAGAGCAAAUGGACAAAAUUUGGUUGCAAAACUAGUUUAUUGUUGUUUUUUUUCAUAUUUUCUUGCCUAACGUUUUUCUUUUUAAACUCCUAUUCCCUUCGUAGUGAUUUCCAGGGUGUAGACCUUUUAGUUAUGGUAGCAACUUCAACGAUACCCUGAAAAUUUCAAGUCUCUAGCUAACCUGCUUCUAGAAGAAUAAGGCUCUACAGAAAACACUGUUACAAAAUUUAUAGAGCUUUCAAGAAAUUUUCUUGCUUAAUUUGUGUAAUAGCAUUAAUUGAUUUCAAUCGAAUACAAAACACCGUUUCGUACGAAUUGCUUCGUAGAAUCCAAGGUCGUUGUUGUGGUGAAAAAUCGCGCGAUUGUAAAAAUUGAUGAGGAGUAUUUUAAUUGAUGCCGAAUCGGGCCUGUAAGGAAUAAGUGUCCAAUAACGCGCUUCCCUUCACCAUCGUUUAUCCUGCUUGUAACUACUUAACCACUUCAAACUUGAAAACAAAGUCCCUAUUGUUGACUUUUCCAAAUAUGAAUAAGAGUGAAUCUUUGAGAAAUCCCAACAAAUUUUUAACAUUGUAGUGGUGAUGAUAAUACUCCUUUUGAUGCGAUUUGUCGGUAAUCUUAACCAUCAAAUGCUUGCCUUCAAGCCCUUUUUUUCUGUUCCUUCCAGAAAACUGACUGUGGGCUAAGGGAAAUGAUUGAUGAUGAGGGUCCUCACCUGCGUCUCCUCGGCUCUCCCGGCACAACGACGGCACUUAAAGCAGCCUCAUCACUGGCCGUGACACCAGUAGUCCUCCGGGUAAAAUCAAAGGUUCACCCGGCUUGGCUCGACUCGGCCCGGCUCGACUCGGCGCUGGGCCCGGUGGAGCACGCGGGUGGUGCGGAGGCUGGCGGUCGACUGAGGGGCGCGGCGCGCGGCCGCCCCCUCGCCCCAUCACUUUCUCGCCCCGGCAGCCACGCCCCCCGCCGGACCUGCCCCAAGCAAAUACGCUCACUUUAACAGUGUCAAGGAACAUAUUUUUCUCCGAUUUUCUAGGAGGCCCAACAAAAUCCCUUAAACACUAUCCACUGUGAAAAAUAUAUUUGUACUUGUACGAUCCAUUUUGUGAUCUGCCCUUUACAGAACGAGUCGUACAUGCGUUGCUCGUUAUUCGAUUCCAAGUCGAUACGCAUAGCUUGUUAAUUUUACAAUUUUGUAUUGUAAUUGUACAACAACUUCCGCUGAAAAUUUUCCUGCACCCGGUACGACAAUGUUUCACAUUGUCCUCUCACAGUAAAAAAUCAGACAUUUCGCAAAACAUUAUCCAAUAGUCCCCAAAGCUGAUUCAUAAUAAUUGUCCUUUUGUUUUUCGACUCGUUUCGGAUCCGAUGACGAAUGCGGAAGUAAAAGUGCUAAAAAUUUUACCCAAAUAUUUGCAAAAUCAUCAUUGUUGCAAAACCUCGUAUUUUGACCUUCAAUUAAUGGAAAGUGAUACUGGUUUGGAAACCUUCCGCGUUGUCAUUCCCUUCGGGUGAAAUGAAUUCCUGUAUUACACAACAAUUGUCUCUACAUUAAAUGGAGUGCGAGACUUAGGUGCAACUAACUUUUAUAAUCGUUUAAGAUGUUUUGCUUGUAUGUGUGAUAGAAAGCAAAUCUCAUGUAUUACUGGAACAUCAUACAUGUAAGACCUUGCGGGAUCCUAAACAAUACAGGUUUUAAGAUUGUUUUAGAUACUUGGGGAUAUGCCCAUUAAACUAAGUCGAUGUGGUCUGUGGAAGGUGGCCUUCCCUUUCACGUCGCUACCCCCCGCUCACUGUCACUGCCGCACUCACAGCCGCGGGGUAUAUGUCGCACAUGUUUGUGGAUUCGACGAAACAACAGAAACAUUUUGUAUUUAUUUUAAUAAAGCUGUAAUCUCAUUGUACAACAAAUAUGAUACAAUAAAUCGUUUGACUAAUAAUAAUAAUAACUAUUGGAAACACAUACGACAUACGACUUGUCCACCGUCACUAGGAAGGAUUAAAAAACUUUCACA
Molecule: long non-coding RNA, 2920 nt
Organism: Frankliniella occidentalis (western flower thrips)
Lineage: Eukaryota; Metazoa; Arthropoda; Insecta; Thysanoptera; Thripidae
Exons: 7
Source: RefSeq, a predicted model, not a curated record